GACGAACGCUGGCGGCGUGCUUAACACAUGCAAGUCGAACGAGAUUUAGCGGAGCUUGCUCUGCGACGAUCUAGUGGCGAACGGGUGAGUAACACGUGAGAAACCUGCCCCGAAGACCGGGAUAACCACGGGAAACUGUGGCUAAUACCGGAUGGUCUGGUUUGGCUUCAUGGCCGAACCAGUAAAUGGAUUCCGCUUCGGGAGGGUCUCGCGGCCUAUCAGCUUGUUGGCGGGGUAACGGCCCACCAAGGCAUCGACGGGUAGCUGGUCUGAGAGGACGAUCAGCCACACUGGGACUGAGACACGGCCCAGACUCCUACGGGAGGCAGCAGUGGGGAAUAUUGCGCAAUGGGCGAAAGCCUGACGCAGCAACGCCGCGUGGGGGAUGAAGGCUCUCGGGUCGUAAACCCCUUUCAGCAGGGACGAAAAUGACGGUACCUGCAGAAGAAGCCCCGGCCAACUACG
Molecule: ribosomal RNA, 465 nt
Filed under: uncultured Acidimicrobiales bacterium
Lineage: Bacteria; Bacillati; Actinomycetota; Acidimicrobiia; Acidimicrobiales
Description: bacterial SSU rRNA
Rfam family: Bacterial small subunit ribosomal RNA
Source: RNAcentral